RNAcentral lists this ribosomal RNA (499 nucleotides) under uncultured Glomeromycotina. RNAcentral's name for it is "partial small subunit ribosomal RNA". It matches the Rfam family "Eukaryotic small subunit ribosomal RNA", at positions 591 to 1092 of the family's 1831-position model. Lineage: Eukaryota; Fungi; Glomeromycota. The record is from RNAcentral.
CCAAUAGCGUAUAUUAAAGUUGUUGCAGUUAAAAAGCUCGUAGUUGAAUUUCGGGAUCAAUACGUCGGUCGUGCUUCGGUACGUACUGGCGUCAUUGAUUUCUCCCUUCUGACGAACCAUGAUGUCAUUAACUUGGUGUCAUGGGAAAUCAGGACUGUUACUUUGAAAAAAUUAGAGUGUUUAAAGCAGGCUCACGCUUGAAUACAUUAGCAUGGAAUAAUGAAAUAGGACGUUCGAACCUAUUUUGUUGGUUUCUAGGAUCAACGUAAUGAUUAAUAGGGAUAGUUGGGGGCAUUAGUAUUCAAUUGUCAGAGGUGAAAUUCUUGGAUUUAUUGAAGACUAACUACUGCGAAAGCAUUUGCCAAGGAUGUUUUCAUUAAUCAAGAACGAAAGUUAGGGGAUCGAAGACGAUCAGAUACCGUCGUAGUCUUAACCAUAAACUAUGCCGACUAGGGAUCGGAUGAUGUUAAUUUUUUAAUGACUCAUUCGGCGCCUUACG